AUUAUGGAGAGUUUGAUCCUGGCUCAGGACGAACGCUGGCGGCAUGCCUAAUACAUGCAAGUCGAGCGAAUGACGAAGAAGCUUGCUUCUUCUGAUUUAGCGGCGGACGGGUGAGUAACACGUGGGCAACCUGCCCUGUAGAUUGGGAUAACUCCGGGAAACCGGGGCUAAUACCGAAUAAUCCAUUUCCUCACAUGGGGA
This 201-nucleotide ribosomal RNA is filed under the name Psychrobacillus psychrodurans. Its description in RNAcentral is "partial 16S ribosomal RNA". It matches the Rfam family "Bacterial small subunit ribosomal RNA", at positions 1 to 196 of the family's 1533-position model. The record is from RNAcentral. Lineage: Bacteria; Bacillati; Bacillota; Bacilli; Caryophanales; Bacillaceae.